UACAGAGGUCCCAAGCGUUGUUCGGAUUCACUGGGCGUAAAGGGUGCGUAGGCGGUCGGGUAAGUCUGACGUGAAAUCUUCAAGCUCAACUUGGAAACUGCGUCCGAUACUAUUCGGCUAGAGGAAUGGAGGGGAGACUGGAAUACUUGGUGUAGCAGUGAAAUGCGUAGAUAUCAAGGGGAACACCAGUGGCGAAGGCGAGUCUCUGGACAUUUCCUGACGCUGAGGCACGAAAGCCAGGGGAGCAAACGGG
Molecule: ribosomal RNA, 253 nt
Filed under: uncultured bacterium
Lineage: Bacteria
Description: partial 16S ribosomal RNA
Rfam family: Bacterial small subunit ribosomal RNA
Source: RNAcentral